UGAAAUUUCGUUUCUGUGAGGGGACUUUAAAU
This 32-nucleotide non-coding RNA is filed under the name Rattus norvegicus (Norway rat). The record is from RNAcentral. Lineage: Eukaryota; Metazoa; Chordata; Mammalia; Rodentia; Muridae.